Non-coding RNA from Solanum lycopersicum (tomato), 2703 nucleotides. The record is from RefSeq and is a predicted model, not a curated record. NCBI's taxonomy places the organism in Eukaryota, Viridiplantae, Streptophyta, Magnoliopsida, Solanales, Solanaceae.
UUUCAUUCAUGUAUACCUUUUCCCUCUACGCCUAUCUUCUUCUUUUCUCCAGAUCUCUUCUAAGUAGUUUAUCUUCUCCAAAUUUUAUGAUCAGAUCUGUGUAGAUCGUUGCUUGAUCUACGUUUUGGAUAUGGAUUUGCCGCGUUUCUGUACCGGACCGCCGUGGUUUUGUACCGGACCGGCGACUGACGGGCCGUAUGGAUGGAUGGUUCGAUAUUUGUUUGUUCUGGCCGACGGUUGACGAAGAGAUGGUGGAUCUGAUGUGUUUGUGUGUUCGUUUGGGAUAGAUGAGCAUAGUCGAGCAUCAGAUCUGUUCGGUCUUAAUAGAUUUGUGGAGAUUGGAGAAGAAGUUUCAGCAACCUUGAUGUUAUCAUCGCGAGGGUUCAACCGUUGUGCGCAAGAGAUUUAUUGGUUUGAAGAUAGAUGCAAGGACUAUCGGUUUUGUUCGUUGUUGUCAUAGAUCAAGCUCUUUUGACCGGUUAUCAUCGGCGAAGGUUGAAUCAUAGAACGUUAUGGUGAAUCCAAGGUUAUGAUGGUUUAAUUUUGAUGUUUAUAAUUAUUUAAAUGUUUUAUUUGCUUAAGUUUUUAUCGAUGCAUGCACAUGUACGAGAGAUAAAAGAAUGAGUUGAGGUUGUGCGAGGUUUGAGAGGAAAAAAGUGAGGUGUUUACUGUUUUAUGUUGCCAGGCCUUUGCCAUGUUGGGUGCGCUCGCAUGGCAGGCCAAAAGUACCUAAUAAAACUAUAUUUUUUGGUGUUGGAGAGGAGAGGCACAGGGUUUUGCCUGGAUCUCCUCUCUGUGUGUGUCGCCUCUUUUAUUUUUUCAUGUUCUUUCCCUGCUCCUGCGUCCAACAAUCUCGCACCGAUCCAGUGGUUACUUGUUUUUUAUGGACAAGUUAUUCGUGUUGAAUUGCUUAAUAUGGCGAUGGACAAAGCAACGUUUCUACUGCUGCACUCCUCAGAGGUACAUAAUCAAUUUUACAUUAUCAGCAUCCAUAUAUUAAUUACUUUUCCUCUAUAAUCACCUACACAGUAAUGGUAAUAUCUCUAAUCAAUAGUUGUAGAAUCAUUCAACAAGCCGCACAAAGCUUAGUCUUUUAUAUGUAGUCACAUACAGCUGAUUAUUGAAGCAGCUUUAAACUAUGUCAUAAAAUAUUUUGGCUGGUCUCCCCUCUCAACUCUAUGUUUAUAUCCAAUAUAACCAUGAUUUUUGAUAACUUAGGGUUCAUGUACAUAUUUUUCAAGAACGAAUGUAUUUCAAAAACGAAAAUAUUGACACCUUUUAAGUAAGUAUUAACAACUAAAAGACCAAUCGUUAGACCAAUUAUUCUGUGACGCAUCAACUUUAAGUUGCGUUAGCUUAAGCCUCGUGCUAGUAAUUAUUUAGCCGUCUAGCUGUCAAACUUGAACUAUUAUUUGAAUAUUAGUAGGUUUUUUUCAGGUGAACAAGAUUCGCAUCUAAAAUAUGUCAUGUAAAAAGCCAUCUAAAAAUAAGUUCUGCGUAAGAACCAUUGUCAUGGCAUAACCAAGGCUUCAACUAUGUCUCUUCUUGUUGAUGGCUGUUCUUUUUCAUUUGUUCUCACGGCUCUUUCACUUGGAAAUUACUUCGUUGUGGAUGAGUUAAUUCCUUUUAAGUUAAUUCUAUAGUAGGAGUAGUUGUGGAGAGCCACUUUGUUUCUUUUAAAUCGUGAUGUAAAUGUUUCAAUCUAUGGAGAUGCCGAUUAUGGCUCCCCUUUUGUGUAGCCUUCUGGGAAGUGUAUUUUAGGCAGGUUUGGGAUUUUGACUGUUGAAUUAAUUCCGUGUACUGGGUAGAUCUUGUAUCUGAUUGGAUGAUGGAAAAUUUGCAACUUAGAACUUGGGAAUAUCUUUGUUUCUGAUUCAUGCUGUCUGGGGUCCCACCUUGUGGUGGGGAGUGUUGCUCAGUUGAUGCAUGGAUGUUUUACCUGGUGCGUUCUAGUUUUGUUUGUGCUGUUGCUGCUGUUGAAGUUGAAGAUCUGAAGAUGCGUUUGCUGCUGUUGGAAGUUAAAUCAUUUUGGUCACACUGUUGGGUUGUUCCUGUUACAUUUGGAAACACUCAACUUUUAACUCCUAAACUUGUUGCUGUUGCUUGUCUGAAUCUGUCGUGUGCAUCAUUAACACAGUAUGGUAGCCUGGUCAUUCUUCUCCUGAUAUACUGCACUCAAAGUUGUAGCAGAUAAAUUUUCUCCCUUGGGGUUUUAUUAAGCAUAUUAUGAUGCUACUCAUGAGUUCCGAUUGUUUCUACUAGAGUGGAUGUAAGGCAUGUUUUCAUGAUAUAUGACAAUUCACAGUUCUCAUGAAGACCAUGCGGUGCAUUUAAUUUCUCCUCUUUUGAAGAUGCUGAUUUGCCGUACCUAAUGGUUUGCAGUUCCAUUUAUUCAAUAUUGAAGUUAUUAUUUUUGGUUUUACUGUGAGUUUCAGUUUUCGCUCUAUUUUUUUAUUUAUUUCUAGAGUAUGUCCGUGUUUGCCGGAGAUGUUGUCCCAUGGAAGUAUUUGUUGAGAUUAGCAUGGGGUGUGUCCUUUGGCGUAAAAGGUUUUACGUCAUUUUAGUAUUAUAAUAUACUAUCGAGUUAUUGUGGUUACGAUUAUUUUAGAUUUUUAUACCUUUUUGGGGACUGUAACAUGAAAGUUGUACUCACUCACGAGUUUGAUCAAAUACUUUUUUCUUAAAGAGUGUUCGUUAUUAUAA